GAUGAACGCUAGCGGGAGGCCUAACACAUGCAAGCCGAGCGGUAGAGUCUCUUCGGAGACUUGAGAGCGGCGCACGGGUGCGGAACACGUGUGCAACCUGCCUUUAUCUGGGGGAUAGCCUUUCGAAGGGAAGAUUAAUACCCCAUAAUAUACUGGAUGGCAUCAUCUGGUAUUUAAAACUCCGGUGGAUAGAGAUGGGCACGCGCAAGAUUAGAUAGUUGGUGAGGUAACGGCUCACCAAGUCAGCGAUCUUUAGGGGGCCUGAGAGGGUGAUCCCCCACACUGGUACUGAGACACGGACCAGACUCCUACGGGAGGCAGCAGUGAGGAAUAUUGGACAAUGGGUGAGAGCCUGAUCCAGCCAUCCCGCGUGAAGGACGACGGCCCUAUGGGUUGUAAACUUCUUUUGUAUAGGGAUAAACCUAGAUACGUGUAUCUAGCUGAAGGUACUAUACGAAUAAGCACCGGCUAACUCCGUG
RNAcentral lists this ribosomal RNA (479 nucleotides) under uncultured bacterium. Its description in RNAcentral is "partial 16S ribosomal RNA". It matches the Rfam family "Bacterial small subunit ribosomal RNA", at positions 28 to 507 of the family's 1533-position model. The record is from RNAcentral.